UACGAAGGGGGCUAGCGUUGCUCGGAAUUACUGGGCGUAAAGCGCACGUAGGCGGCUCUUUAAGUCGGGGGUGAAAUCCUGGAGCUCAACUCCAGAACUGCCUUCGAUACUGGGAGUCUCGAGUCCGGGAGAGGUGAGUGGAACUGCGAGUGUAGAGGUGAAAUUCGUAGAUAUUCGCAAGAACACCAGUGGCGAAGGCGGCUCACUGGCCCGGUACUGACGCUGAGGCGCGAAAGCGUGGGGAGCAAACAGG
Molecule: ribosomal RNA, 253 nt
Filed under: uncultured bacterium
Lineage: Bacteria
Description: partial 16S ribosomal RNA
Rfam family: Bacterial small subunit ribosomal RNA
Source: RNAcentral